RNAcentral lists this transfer RNA (72 nucleotides) under Doryrhamphus japonicus. RNAcentral describes it as "tRNA-Thr". The stretch from base 7 to 67 matches the Rfam family "tRNA", at positions 6 to 65 of the family's 71-position model. Rfam says of the family: Transfer RNA (tRNA) molecules are approximately 80 nucleotides in length. Their secondary structure includes four short double-helical elements and three loops (D, anti-codon, and T loops). Lineage: Eukaryota; Metazoa; Chordata; Actinopteri; Syngnathiformes; Syngnathidae. The record is from RNAcentral.
GCAUUAAGUAGCUCAGUUUCAGAGCGCCGGUCUUGUAAACCGGACGUCGGAGGUUAAAAUCCCCCCUACUGC